Molecule: long non-coding RNA, 1039 nt
Organism: Myotis brandtii (Brandt's bat)
Lineage: Eukaryota; Metazoa; Chordata; Mammalia; Chiroptera; Vespertilionidae
Exons: 4
Source: RefSeq, a predicted model, not a curated record
GCCCAGAAGCCUGUUGUCUCUAACUGUACAGGAGACUUCUCUGCCUGUGCUGGGAAAGGGGCUUUUCUUUUGUUUUGCAGAUACAUCUACCCACCGAGUGACUUGAAUUUUUUCCCUCGAACAUGACUCCAGGCUAUGCUUUUAUUAGCCUGGCUGGGGGCAGGGCGACUCUCUAAACCCUGCUUGGCUGCUUGCCUCCUUCUGUGAGAGCAGAGAUGAAGCCUCAACACAGCCGAAGGAGUUGGGAACAUGGGGACACACUGACUUCAGUCCAACUGCUAUAGUAUAUGAAUGAUGAGCUAGCUAGUCUGCACCAAGAAGAGGGGUGCACUCAUUGCUGGGGGGCAUGGGAGGAGGCUUCACAGAGGAGAUGACAUCUGAGCUGGCUAGCGAAGACUGUAGGAAUCUUAGAGGUGGCGAACAAGGGGAGGGACAGCGCUUUCCCCUCUUCAAGAACAGCAUGUGUGAAGUCAUGGAGGCAUGAAAGGACAGAGGGUGUCCAGAAUGGUCAGGAUUGGGUAUGGCUGAAAGGAAGAGUGUAGGGGUGGAGUGGCAGGGGAAGGGAACACAGCAGGGACAGUCUCUUAUGUCCCCUUGCCCUCUGCCUGUUUGUCUCUGCCUUUGGCUGUGGAUCAGCAAAAGCUGGUGGUGAGGUGCAGGUGGGGGGUGGCUGGGACUGGCCUGGGGCGAGAAGAGCAGAUGGACCCUGCAGGAAGAGUGGGGAGUGCAGAGGAUUGGGAAGCUCUUUAUGACCUUCGUGCAUUUCAGCUGGUUUUCUCCUGAGAGAAUCAACAUUGUCAAAAAAUGUAAACAAUUGCAUUAAAAAUGUACAACAAAGUUAUUUAGUUUGUUUAGACUACUUAAAGGCAUCAAAUAGGCCCAUACUCACCAAGCAUGUUAACUGAGUCUAUUUUGUACCAGACACUGUGCUGGGAGAUAGGACACUCCCUCACACAAUGCUGCAGGGCUGUUGUGAUUAAAUUUGAGAGGGCCCGAAAGGUAGCUCAAUUGGUUAGAGCAGGUUUGAUCUGUGGUCGGG